GCCAAAAUGUUUGGGCUUGAAGCCCAAACAAGACCAAGCUCCCAACGGUAAAAAAAAACGAGUCCAAGUCCAAACGUGUUCAUGUCAAAAGCUCAGCAAUACAGCUGAAAAACUUCAUCAUGUCCAAACUUCACUUCUUCUCCCUCAAGAACAAAACCGAGACGAAGAAAAUGAUGAAGAAACAAUGCUCUGAAAUCAACUUCAAUCACCGAAAUUUGAAUCAACAUUCACCAUUCACAUUUAAUUCAACUCUGUGCGCACGGAAUCAGAAAGAAACAAAAACGAAUUUGAAGCAAGAACUCACUGAAUCGAUGUUUCGACACGAACAUGUAAAUAAAUUGCUUAGAAUAUGAUCAUAAGCCAUGCUUGGAAAUGUGAAAUUGGAAUGCUUGGAAAUUAAAUUGGAAUAUUUGGAAAUUAAAUUGUGUAUUAGUUGAAUUUGUAAUUUUUGUAAUUGAAAUUGUAUUGGCUUGAACAUUGUAAUUUGUAAUCAAAGGUUGAAUGUUGCAAUGAAAUAAUGGAUGGUUGAAUAUGGAUUA
This is a long non-coding RNA of Lathyrus oleraceus (garden pea), 539 nucleotides long. RefSeq lists it as uncharacterized. The record is from RefSeq and is a predicted model, not a curated record. NCBI's taxonomy places the organism in Eukaryota, Viridiplantae, Streptophyta, Magnoliopsida, Fabales, Fabaceae. The transcript has 2 exons.